RNAcentral lists this long non-coding RNA (2727 nucleotides) under Anneissia japonica. Its description in RNAcentral is "uncharacterized LOC117116290". The record is from RNAcentral. Lineage: Eukaryota; Metazoa; Echinodermata; Crinoidea; Comatulida; Comatulidae.
UAGUAGUGAAUGUGUUGGAUACAUGCAUGUGUGAUGUUUGCACACAUGAAUGUUGUCUGCAUGGCAUGCUUAAUGCAAUUAGGUUGCUACACGCAUGCAUCAUUAAAUGUGGAUAUCUGAAUGCCCUUUUAAUACCACAUAUGAUUUUUGCUGCUGCAUGGAAGAGCAUGAUGUCGUACAGAUGUUUGUGGUCAAUGGACCUUGUCCGGAGUGCCAAUCAAACUUAAAAACUGACCAAUCAGAACAGUGCCAGGAAUACGUGCAUGUUUUACAAACACACGUACGUUGUCUCACAAACGCACAAACGUUUGUGUAUGUAUUUACACUGUCGAGUUACGGGACCUUAGCAACAAUAUCCAAGGGGCGGGGCUUAGCAGAACUGUAGCACACCUAAAGCUCUGUCCACACUAUCAAAUAAUUAUGCGACAAAUUUGUGUGAUGUGCCCAUAUAUGGGCAUGAUGAUGUCAUCUUACACCCAAAUAUGGGCAUAUCACAUUAAUUUGUCACAUAAAAUUUGAUAGGUGGACAAAACUUUAGUCGGAGCAUUAUGCCAUCAUAGAGAAGCAUGAUUUUUUGGAAAUAUUAAAGUCCUGUUAUGUAUAAUUGCGUUAUCAUGUGUGAUAUUUGCAUGCUGGUAAAUAUGUCCGCUUCAUAUUCACUCAUUUAUGCAAAUGUAAAUACAUUUGUGUACAUGUUGAUGCUAAUUGUAAUCGCAUAAUAUGUGUUGUUUGAUUGACUAACUUUGUUUUCCCUGUGACAGCAUGGGAAGUGAACGGUACGAGAGUAAUCCAUACAUUUACUCAAUCCGAUCAUCUUUCCAGUGCAAGUGGUAGUAAUUCAAGUAGUUCUAGCAAACCAAAGAAAUCAGCAACUGAAUAAGAAAUCUUUGAGCAAGAAACAAGUUGAAUGGUUCAAAGAUGAUCACCUAGUUGAAAAUAGUGAACGUAUCAUGUUAUCUGCUGAGGGCGCUGUUUACAUUAUGGCAAUACCAGUAACACUAGCCACAGACUCGGCAAAUUAUUCAAUCAAAGCAAAGAACAAAUUUGGGGAAUGCCAGGCAAAGUUCUCCCUCCAAGUCUUACAAGAAUCUGAUUGAAGCAUGCUAUAAGUUGUUUUAGUUAGGUUCAGCGAAAAAUGAGGACAGUUUAAUUCUUCACACCAAAAAUUGUGUAAAUGCCCUGGAAUGCAGUUUUGCCAGUGUAUCUUGCUACGGAACAUAGGCUGUUUGUUGUUGACAAAAUAGUUUGGAUUUUAUCAUAGUUUUAAGAACUAACAUGUUCCAUGGAUUGUUUUUAAUUAUAAAAUUAUAUACGAGAGAAAUAUUUUGGAAUUCAGAUUGAAUAACAAAUUGGCAUCAUCAGUUUCCCACCGAUUAUCCUCAAUGCUAAUAUAAUUCAUUUAUUUGGAUAAUAAGCCAUUCAUUACUAUUUUAUGAUCCCAUGAAAUAUUAAAUUAAUUAUUGAUUUGUUGAUUGAUAUUUUAUCCCGUGUAAUAUAAAUAUUCACACAGUACAUUGAAAAAGAAAAAAAAAAUAAAUGUAGGGAUUAAACCAAUCAGAAUUGCCGAUAGAUCUAAAUAUAAUCCUGCCAUUCACAAUAGCUGAUAGAUCACUGCUAGGCAAAGUUUAUAUCAAAAAUAUAUGAACAAUUAAUUAUGUAUGAAUUAUCAUAUAAAUAAAAACUUAUUAACAUAUUGUAUAUUUAUUUAUUAUUUAUCAGAGUUGCAUGCCUAGAACUGGUUACAGAAGUGGGAGGGUCUUGCACCCGAUUCAAAUGAGAGAGAAUGUACUAAAUAUUAACAGAGAUAUCUGUUCUGAUAUUUCCCUAGCAAGUUUCUUAGACACAACUAGGCCUAAAUAUAAACCAUAAUAAAAAUUGGUACAAUUGAUAUGCACAGACAGUGAAGAUAUGCGAAACGCCUAAGUGAAAGAUUAGCUGCACCUCCUUACCAUGUUCACAGAUACUUGCUGAAUAUAUCAGUAUUAGGCCUCCAUAAGAUCUGUGUUUUUACCCAGAUGUAGCGAGAUAUCAUUGGUAUUAAUGGGUAUUUUUCACGGGCGAUCUAUCCUUACUGGUAAAAAUAUCAUUGGUACACUUUGUUAAUAAUUAUUUAUGUAGAGGUGUGUGGUGCAGCGUGUUGGGCUUUCAUUUGGAAGAUUGGAGGUUCGAGACUGAUGCUCAUCACACUGCCUGUGUCUUGGGCAAGACACUUUAUCUGAUUUACCUCUCUUCACUCUGGAGUAUAAAUAGGUACCUGGUAGGUGGUGAAUGAUUUGGAAUGAAAUUAGUAGUGCUGAUUACAUGCAUAACUAAGUAUACUCCCCAGGGAGUGGAGGAGGUUGCACGUUAUGUAUGAUUGAUUCUGUAUCCAAUGACCAGAGAGAAAACAGUGCCUUAGCAUUUUUUCCAUAUAUUGGAUAUGUGCGCUAUAUGAAAUUAAUUAAUAUUUAGUAGGGCCUAUAUUUCUCUCAUGUGAAACAGGUUAUUAACAUAGUCUGUGUGCUAAUGCGGGGUACACAUAAUGGUGAAUUAAUGCCGAGUCAGCAACAAUUUUUUAUUAAUGUGCUAUAUUCGGUACGUUACGAGGUGCAUUUGAAUUAUUUUCGCUGUUAACUUUAUUAGUGCCAAUAUUUUGGUUUGGAUAGUUUUUUUAAAAAUAGAUAUUAUAGUAAUUUUGGAUAACAUAACUAUUGGUUGCAGAUAAAAUAAAAACAUAAAAACACUUGA